GGGGCUGUAGUUCAGUUGGUUAGAACGCCGGCCUGUCACGCCGGAGGUCGCGAGUUCGAUCCUCGUCGGCCCCGCCA
This 77-nucleotide transfer RNA is filed under the name Nitrospirota bacterium. RNAcentral describes it as "Nitrospirae bacterium (groundwater metagenome) tRNA-Asp". It matches the Rfam family "tRNA". Rfam says of the family: Transfer RNA (tRNA) molecules are approximately 80 nucleotides in length. Their secondary structure includes four short double-helical elements and three loops (D, anti-codon, and T loops). The record is from RNAcentral. RNAcentral also lists the same sequence under 1 other name. Lineage: Bacteria; Pseudomonadati; Nitrospirota.